Molecule: non-coding RNA, 73 nt
Organism: Potamilus streckersoni
Lineage: Eukaryota; Metazoa; Mollusca; Bivalvia; Unionida; Unionidae
Source: the annotation of a GenBank genome assembly
GAUCCAAUGGCCUACUGGUUAGAGUGUCCGCCUUGGAUGCAGGAGGUCCUGGCUUCGAACACCAACCGGGUCA